GGAAGGAUCAUUAACACAUUGUCCAUUUGAUGGUGUUUUUUUUUGCUACUCCCUGUUAAAGGGGUUGUGGUGAAAAAUACAUCAUUCAAACCCAUAUGUCGAAUGAGUUGAAAAGUCAUCAACCAUUAUUUUAACGUAAUGAUUGAGUGAAUGAUCAAAUCAUGUAAUCACGAUCAACAAGAAGUGUAUCAAUUCAGAAAUGAAUGGAUGUACAAAUUGUUCGACUGAUGUUUGAAAAAAACAAUAAAUAUAUAUAAACCAAGACAACUUGUAACAGUGGAUACCUUGGUUCCCAGGUCGAUGAAGAGCGCAGCGAACUGCGAUAAGUCAUGUGAAUUGCAGAAUUCCGUGAAUCAUCGAACUCUUGAACGCAAAUUGCACUUGGGUGUUGAGCUCAAGUGUGCCUGCUCGAGUGUCGGCAAUAAAUCCUCUACUUCUAAAGUAGAAAAUGAGAGUUCAAUUUUUUUUUGAUCUCUUUAAAUGUAUGGAAUGAAUGAUUCGUUAAAUCAUAUUUUCAUUUAUUUGAAUUAUGAGAAACACGAAUUAGAUUUGUAAAUUAAAAAGGUUUAAUUACCUUUGCUUUUUACAUUAUCUAAGUUUCUUUAAUUUGCUUAUUUGUUUGUAUGUGAAUUUAUUCAUGACUUGUAUUGAAAGAGACUUUUACAAGUUUCUAGAGAUACAAUUUUCAUAAUACUCGACCUCGAAUUAGGCAAGAUCACCCGGUGGACUUAAGCAUAUUAUUAACCGGAGGAAAAGAAACUAACAAGGAUGCCCUCAGUAACGGCGAGUGAAGCGGGCAGAGCUCAAAUUUAAAAUCUGAGAGUCUUAUGAUUCUCCGAAUUGUAGUUUUUGGAUCGUUAGUCACGGUGUCAUUACGUAUUGGGAGUAAGUUCUUUGGAACAAGGCGUCAGAGAGGGUGAGAACCCCGUAUGCGUCCCACGUAGUGAUACAAUAGGUGUCUAGCUUUUCACGAGUCGGGUUGUUUGGGAUUGCAGCCCUAAAUAGGUGGUAGAUCUCAUCUAAAGCUAAAUAUUCCUGGGAGACCGAUAGCGAAGAAGUAGUGUGAACGAAAGGUGAAAAGAACUUUGAAAAGAAGGUGAAAAGUACUUGAAGCUGUUCCAAGGGAACCGUAUGGAAGCAGUGAUAGUGCGGCGACAAUUCAGCGUGCGAUUGUGUUCUCGUGUUGGAUGCCUGGAGGUGUAUGCCCCAGAGUACUGAGCGAAGGAUGCGUGGCGCGUGUACUUUGUUGUCGUACGAGUCAACAUCAGUUUGCUGGUGACGGAGAAAGGUGUAAGGAAGGUAGGUCGACCUCACAAGGGCCGUCUGUUAUAGCCUUGCAUUGCAUACGUCAUCGUGGACUGAGGAAAGAAAACGCAUGCCUCGGCGAGGUAGUUGGCUGACCCGUGGUUAUGGAUGUGUACGUCUGCUUGCAGGGUGCGUGUCCGCUGGCUACGGCAUAGGUUGACCCAUCGGUGCGUUAGUGAUGUUGACGAAAUGCUUUCCUAUGACCCGUCUUGAAACACGGACCAAGGAGUCUAACAUGUAUGCAAGUAUUUGGGUGGCAAACCCGAGUGCGCAACGAAAGUGAGACAGAUGCGAGUUCGUAAAAGAAUGCAGCAUCGGCCGACUGCUUUUAGGAGCGGAUCGCGCCGGAGCACACAUGAUGGGACCCGAAAGAUGGUGAACUUUGCGUGCGCAGGGUGAAGCCAGAGGAAACUCUGGUGGAGGCUCGUAGAGAUACUGACGUGCAAAUCGUUCUUCUGACGUGCGUAAAGGGGCGAAAGACUAAUCGAACCAUCUAGUAGCUGGUUUACAC
RNAcentral lists this unclassified non-coding RNA (1816 nucleotides) under uncultured fungus. RNAcentral describes it as "sequence contains 18S rRNA gene, ITS1, 5.8S rRNA gene, ITS2, 28S rRNA gene". The stretch from base 696 to 1816 matches the Rfam family "Eukaryotic large subunit ribosomal RNA", at positions 1 to 961 of the family's 3401-position model. Lineage: Eukaryota; Fungi. The record is from RNAcentral.